RNAcentral lists this ribosomal RNA (484 nucleotides) under uncultured bacterium. Its description in RNAcentral is "partial 16S ribosomal RNA". It matches the Rfam family "Bacterial small subunit ribosomal RNA", at positions 30 to 507 of the family's 1533-position model. The record is from RNAcentral.
AUUGAACGCUGGCGGCAGGCCUAACACAUGCAAGUCGAGCGGAUGAAGGGGGCUUGCUCCUGGAUUCAGCGGCGGACGGGUGAGUAAUGCCUAGGAAUCUGCCUGGUAGUGGGGGAUAACGUCCGGAAACGGGCGCUAAUACCGCAUACGUCCUGAGGGAGAAAGUGGGGGAUCUUCGGACCUCACGCUAUCAGAUGAGCCUAGGUCGGAUUAGCUAGUUGGUGGGGUAAAGGCCUACCAAGGCGACGAUCCGUAACUGGUCUGAGAGGAUGAUCAGUCACACUGGAACUGAGACACGGUCCAGACUCCUACGGGAGGCAGCAGUGGGGAGUAUUGGACAAUGGGCGAAAGCCUGAUCCAGCCAUGCCGCGUGUGUGAAGAAGGUCUUCGGAUUGUAAAGCACUUUAAGUUGGGAGGAAGGGCAGUAAGUUAAUACCUUGCUGUUUUGACGUUACCAACAGAAUAAGCACCGGCUAACUUCGUG